GACGAACGCUGGCGGCGUGCCUAACACAUGCAAGUCGAGCGGAGGUACAAUGAGAGCAAUCGAGAUGUACUUUAGCGGCGGACGGGUGAGUAACGCGUGAGCAACCUGCCUAUCACAGGGGGAUAAGGCGGCGAAAGCCGCUCUAAUACCGCAGGGUGAGACCCUCAAAGCGAUGCAAUGGGGGUGAAAGGAGCGAUCCGGUGAGAGAUGGGCUCGCGUCCGAUUAGGUAGUUGGUAGGGUAAGGGCCUACCAAGCCAAUGAUCGGUAGCCGGCCUGAGAGGGUGAACGGCCACAUUGGAACUGAGAGACGGUCCAAACUCCUACGGGAGGCAGCAGUGGGGAAUAUUGGGCAAUGGGCGGAAGCCUGACCCAGCAACGCCGCGUGAGGGAAGAAGGUUUUCGGAUUGUAAACCUCUGUUCUUGGGGAAGAGGAGGAGACGGUACCCAAGGAGGAAGCCCCGGCUAACUACGUG
This 474-nucleotide ribosomal RNA is filed under the name uncultured bacterium. RNAcentral describes it as "bacterial SSU rRNA". It matches the Rfam family "Bacterial small subunit ribosomal RNA", at positions 28 to 507 of the family's 1533-position model. The record is from RNAcentral.